GAUGAAGAACGCAGCGAAAUGCGAUAAGUAAUGUGAAUUGCAGAAUUCAGUGAAUCAUCGAAUCUUUGAACGCAUCUUGCGCUCCUUGGUAUUCCGAGGAGCAUGCCUGUUUGAGUGUCAUUUAACUUCUCAACCACAUUGGAUAUUUUUUUUCCGAUGCCGGCUUGGAUGUGGGGGUUGUUUGCAGGCUUUUUGUAACAAAAAAGGUCGGCUCCCCCGAAAUGUAUUAGUGGUAUCUGAGGCUAUUACUAUUAGGUGUGAUAAUUAUCUAUGCCUUUUGGGUAUGCCGCAUGAACAGAUUAUGCUGCUUCUAACGAAAACUAUUUUGAUGAAUUUGACCUCAAAUCAGGUAGGACUACCCGCUGAACUUAAGCAUAUCAAUAAGCGGAGGA
This 392-nucleotide unclassified non-coding RNA is filed under the name soil metagenome. RNAcentral describes it as "partial contains 5.8S ribosomal RNA, internal transcribed spacer 2, and large subunit ribosomal RNA". The stretch from base 1 to 120 matches the Rfam family "5.8S ribosomal RNA", at positions 35 to 154 of the family's 154-position model. The record is from RNAcentral.